Molecule: ribosomal RNA, 872 nt
Filed under: uncultured bacterium
Lineage: Bacteria
Description: bacterial SSU rRNA
Rfam family: Bacterial small subunit ribosomal RNA
Source: RNAcentral
AUACAUUUUGAAUGGCGUACAGGUGAGUAAUACAUAAGUAUUUACUUUAUAUUUUAGAAUUAAUUCUAAUAAAAAUUAUAGUGUUUUAAAAUCAUAUAAUUUAAAGAUUUAGAUUGGUGUAAACUUAGCUUAUGGAGAAUUAGAUUGUUGGUAAGGUAAUGGCUUACCAAGUCGAUGAUUCUUAAUUGGUCUUAGCGGACGAUCAAUCACAUUGGGACUGAAACAAGGCCCAGGCUCUUAAUGAGGCAGCAGUAAGGAAUAUUGGACAAUGAACGAAAGUUUGAUCCAGCAAUAUCCCGUGAAUGAAGAAGGUCGUUUCUUAUCUUAAAGUUCUUUCAAUAAGGAGGAUAAUGACGUUACUUAUAGAGGAAGUCUCGACUAACCUCGUGCCAGCAGUCGCGGUAAUACGUGGGAGGCGAGCGUUACUCUACGUUACUUGGUGUAAAGCGUACUUAGGUUGUUUUAUAAGUUACUUUUUAAAUACUAAAUAUGAUUUUAGCAAAGGAGGAUAAUACUGUAAAACUUUGAGUAUAUUAGAAGACGGUUGUACUUUUAGUGUAGAGGUGGAAUUUUUUCAUAUUAAAAGGACAAUCAAUUGGUGAAAACUACCGUCUAGGAUAUAACUGACACUUAUCUACGAAAGCGUGAGGAGCAAAAAGGAUUAGAUACCCUUGUAGUUCACGCUGUGACAAAUGAAUAUUAAUUGAUGGAAAAAAAUUUCCGUUGAAUGAGCUAACGCGUUAAAUAUUCCACCUGGGGACUACGAUCGCAAGGUUGAAACUCAAAGAAAUUGACUGAAAUCUGUACAAGCAGUGGAGCAUGUGGUUUAAUUCGAUAUAAAGCGAUAAAUCUUACCAAUUUUUGAUAUGUAG